AAAAAAUUUCUUUUAAUUACUUGCCAACAUUUUAGAAUUUGGAAAUCUCACAUGAAAUUCUGGACUUUUGAAGCUGAGGAAUUCCAUUGCAACAAUCAAGGAGACUAAAUAGGAAAUGACACUUCUGUUUGGCCAUCUUGCCCUCAUUGGUUUAGAAUGGCAGUGGUUCUCAACCCUGGCUGCACAUUAGAAUCACUUUAGGAGAGGUAAAACCAUACUCACGCUGGAGACCUACUCCUAGAAAUUCUAAAGAGUUUGGGGCUGGGAACUGGCCAUUGAUCUGCCUUUGAAGUUUCCCAAGUGAUUCCCAACCUCUGAUGUAAUAAAUUUCUGGCUGCUGUCGUAUUUGAGAUUUGACCCCCCCAGGUCUAAGACUUAAUUGAUUUUUAAGGCUGUAAGACAUUUCUAAGACUUUGACUUUUAAGACUUUCCUGCCUCAUUCUGAAGGCCUUGAACUUGGACUUCACGCCUCCAGAACAGUAUUAACACAGUGCUAUGUAAUGGAGGAAACCCAAGAAAUAUUUUUUGCCUUGAAGAAAAGAACACAAACUCAGAAGUCACAUGGAUCUAAGAUAAGACUUGCAAAGAUUUAAAUUCAAUUCUGCCAUUUACUUCAUAUGAGGACCUUGAGAACCAGUUGAUAGCAUAUCAGAAAAGCUAAUUAAUUUGCCAUGGUUACCAGGAAAACAGGGCCUAGUCUCC
This 702-nucleotide long non-coding RNA is filed under the name Homo sapiens (human). Its description in RNAcentral is "HSALNT0119772". Lineage: Eukaryota; Metazoa; Chordata; Mammalia; Primates; Hominidae. The record is from RNAcentral.